RNAcentral lists this ribosomal RNA (325 nucleotides) under uncultured eukaryote. Its description in RNAcentral is "partial 18S ribosomal RNA". It matches the Rfam family "Eukaryotic small subunit ribosomal RNA", at positions 1470 to 1796 of the family's 1831-position model. The record is from RNAcentral.
CCCUUAGAUGUUCUGGGCCGCACGCGCGCUACACUGAUGCAUUCAACGAGCCUAUCCUUGACCGACAGGUCCGGGUAAUCUUUGAAUCUGCAUCGUGACGGGGAUAGAUUAUUGCAAUUAUUAAUCUUCAACGAGGAAUGCCUAGUAGGCGCAAGUCAUCAGCUUGCGUCGAUUACGUCCCUGCCCUCUGUACACACCGCCCGUCGCUCCUACCGAUUGGGUGUGCUGGUGAAAUGUUCGGAUCGGCCGUUUGUCGCGGUUUCCGCGUCAUGUGGCUGAGAAGUUCAUUAAACCCUCCCACCUAGAGGAAGGAGAAGUCGUAACA